Long non-coding RNA from Octopus sinensis (East Asian common octopus), 152 nucleotides. RefSeq lists it as uncharacterized. Lineage: Eukaryota; Metazoa; Mollusca; Cephalopoda; Octopoda; Octopodidae. The transcript has 3 exons. The record is from RefSeq and is a predicted model, not a curated record.
CCUUGUGCCUAGAGUACAGGGGUCAUAAAGCCUUGGCAGGGAUGGGGUCACAAAGCCUUGCUAGAAGUGGCUUGGGAUAAUAUUAAUUUCAUAAAAUGUAAAUUAAGCUACUGAUAGUAGGGGUCACGUGGGUUUCAAGCUUUUGGGUAAGG